RNAcentral lists this long non-coding RNA (213 nucleotides) under Helianthus annuus (common sunflower). Its description in RNAcentral is "hypothetical non coding rna". Lineage: Eukaryota; Viridiplantae; Streptophyta; Magnoliopsida; Asterales; Asteraceae. The record is from RNAcentral.
CCGUGGUUCAUGAACACGACCCCUUUAAUUGGUUGUGUUUCGUCUAGCGGCAGCCAUGAUUGGGUGAAGAUUUUCCCAUAUGGUGUCUGGAAAUAGAGUUUAUUGUUGCGGACGUUUUGGGAUUUGUAGUAUUCUUCUUCGGGUGUUUCGCCCCAGUAGAAUGGGGGCGGGGGUGGGAGUGGUGGGAGUUCUACCAUGAUUGGGUGAAGAUUU